Molecule: ribosomal RNA, 363 nt
Filed under: uncultured bacterium
Lineage: Bacteria
Description: bacterial SSU rRNA
Rfam family: Bacterial small subunit ribosomal RNA
Source: RNAcentral
UAUUGGCCAAUGGGGGAAAGCCUGAUCCCGCAAUGCCGCGUGAGUGAUGAAGGCCCUAAGGGUUGUAAAGCUUUUUUACCCGGGAAGAUAAUGACUGUACCGGGAGAAUAAGCCCCGGCUAACUCCGUGCCAGCAGCCGCGGUAAUACGGAGGGGGCUAGCGUUGUUCGGAAUUACUGGGCGUAAAGCGCACGUAGGCGGCUUUGUAAGUCAGAGGUGAAUCCUGAGCUCAACUCCAGGAACUGCCUUUGAAACUGCCUCGCUUAAUCCAGAGAGGUCAGUGGAUUCCGAGUGAGAGGUAAAUUGAAUUUCGAAGACACCAGUGGGAAGGGGGGCUGCUGGACUGACUAGCGUGUGUAAAUCG